GUAUGUCGUUGCUUAAACUUAGUUUACUGUUUCACUAACGUCUCUCUUAUAACAAAUGAAAUUACUAAAAAAUCAAUAAAACAAUAUAUAAAUUUUUAGUGAACUCUGUCGAAAUUGGACACUCAUGUCCUAGUUAAACGUUAUUCCUGCCUAAUAAGACUUGACUAUCACAAUCCUAGUAUACAUUCCUAGAGAAGAAGUAACAAAUGGUAGCAAUUUAAAUUGAUAAUGCAGGAUUCUCCAUAAGUGAUCAAAAUCAUUAGGUUGUGAGAGUUUUCCUUAGGGGUGCUCAUGGUGCGGUUUGAAUCGGGUUUUUCCUAAAAAAAUCAAAUCAAGUAAGUCGGUUUCUUAAAUAUUAGAAUCAAAUCAAAUCAAUUAAGUCGGUUUUUUUUCCGAUUCUGUUUCUGUUGGUUUCUGUCGGUUUUUUGAUUUUUUCAAUUGUUUUUUUUUCUUAAAUAUAUGACAUGCACUACCAUAACACAUAUUUUGGCAACUACAUUUUCAACGUCAAACUAUCAAAUCAAUUACCCUUUGAGAAAUCUAUUGUUUACUAAAAUAUAUUGAUGAUAAUUAAAUCAAAUAUUGAUGAAUAAUUUAAGGAUUCAAUUAAAACUAUUUUUUUUAAACAUAAAAUGAAUUCUUAUACUUAAUAA
RNAcentral lists this long non-coding RNA (653 nucleotides) under Nicotiana benthamiana. Its description in RNAcentral is "long non-coding RNA (NBEN_LNC030533)". Lineage: Eukaryota; Viridiplantae; Streptophyta; Magnoliopsida; Solanales; Solanaceae. The record is from RNAcentral.